Non-coding RNA from Pelobates cultripes (western spadefoot toad), 234 nucleotides. The record is from the annotation of a GenBank genome assembly. NCBI's taxonomy places the organism in Eukaryota, Metazoa, Chordata, Amphibia, Anura, Pelobatidae.
GAUGCUGCGAGACUAAAUAUUUGAUUUCUGGUUCGAUUUUCGUAAGGAACAAACAAUGGUCUCCUCUUUCGGUGAUAUUCAGACGGUUUCUCUGUCUGCUCAUAUGAUUAACAGCACUAAAGCCUGAUUCUACAAGAUAUGUGGUAGGGAAAGUUAUCAAUAAAUUGAACAUCAUUUUCCAUAUAUUUGUAUAUAACGCAGGCAUUUUUUUUUUUCAGAGUUUUUAGUAUCCAC